Long non-coding RNA from Mauremys mutica (yellowpond turtle), 902 nucleotides. RefSeq lists it as uncharacterized. The transcript is spliced from 4 exons. The record is from RefSeq and is a predicted model, not a curated record. NCBI's taxonomy places the organism in Eukaryota, Metazoa, Chordata, Testudines, Geoemydidae.
UUCCUCCCCCACUAGUCCUCACCUGGACAGAGGCAGCAUCCGUGGAGAGCAGACAGUGCUUCCAUAGAGCAUCAGUUCUGGGGGAGUGAGGUGGAGAGACUGGGUGAAAUGGACCUUGGUCUGGCACCCACAGCAGGAACUUACCAGACAUAACAAAAAAACAAGAAAGUUUUCUCGGGUCCUGGAUGGAAUUUCCGGUGCGAAGGAGAGAUGCUGACCCCAGAAUGGCCAGCUGGUCGAAGCACUCACCGGGGAGGGCUUGCCAACCUUUAAGGCUGACCAAGGAUGAUGUAUUACAAGGAGAACUGGCCUUAAACAAGAGAAGGGCGAGUUUAGACUAGAUACAAGGAAACCCUUCUGACAGUAACGUAGUUCUGAGAUCCCACCCAGGUCUCUAUCGAUUGCUCAAGCAGACUUGGGAAGGCAGCAACAAGCUGAGCAGUGAUGAUUUUUCAAAGGAGAGAGCAUGGUUAGUGCAGGGGAUUAGGAGUCUGGAUUCCUUUUCUACCUCUGACAUUGGGUGCCUUUGGCCAAGUUACUUCCCCUCUCUACACCUUACUUCCCCAAUUGUGAAAUGUCCCAAUGGCACAGGAAGGUAAUGCGUGUGCUUGUAGCUAAAAAUUGUAACUGUGCAAAAUAUCAUUCAUAUCAAUCCGCUGUUCCUACCAGUUUACACUGCUUCUCCGCGAGACAGGCCCACAAACCCACCAGGAGGAAAAGCACAGAGAUGAAGAUGAAGAGCUGACCCAACUCUCUGAGGAAACAGUGAUUUACAUUUCUGUGUAAAGCCCCCGUAGCCUCAAACUGCGGGGUUUGGAAAAGCUUACACAUCCGAGCCGCGUGUGUAUGUUGGAGAACCACAUUGCAUGGCCGCUAGUUUACAUUGGUAGCUAAACUUCUUU